This 1680-nucleotide long non-coding RNA is filed under the name Macaca mulatta (Rhesus monkey). RNAcentral's name for it is "lncRNA (ENSMMUG00000050924.1)". Lineage: Eukaryota; Metazoa; Chordata; Mammalia; Primates; Cercopithecidae. The record is from RNAcentral.
AUUUCAACCCAUCUUCAAAAACAUCCUGGGAUAUGAGGAAAGUGGGCAUUAUUAUGAUACUCAUUUUAAAAAUAAAAAGUAUAGGGGAGUAAAUUAAAGCCCAGGGAAUAAUCUUAACUUCAGGAGUAACUAAGGCUAGGCAUCGAGAAGAACUUGCCCUCUGCAGGAAUUGUGAAACACUGGAAUUCACUACUCGGGGAAUGUGAGUCAAUCCAACUCGUCAUAGCUGAAAGAGGGCUUUGGAAAAACAAGGCCAUGGGGCUUCACUUGUCACAUCAUAUCAAAAUUGCUCUAGUACUUGUGUGUCUCCCCUGCUAGACCCUAAGCUUCCGCAGAGAGCUCAGAGUCUGUGGCAGUUCACUGUUACCGCCUCAGAGCUAACUAGAGGGCCUGAUGUUAAACAAUUACUCAAUAAAUAUGUGAUGAAGGAAGGGGGAAGGGGGAAAGGAAAAAAGGAAGGCAGGAAAGGCUGAAGAGGGUGUGAGCAGAGGCUGAGAAGAAACUAAAGGAAGGAGAAGAGAGCUAAGGGGCCCAGGAAUGGCACAGAAGCUACAGUAAACAUGAGGGAUAAAAAAGGCAGGCACUGGGGGGACACAGGAGCAAGAGAAUUAGGGACUGCCAGGACACCAGUGAAAACAGAAUGGAAGGAGGUCACAGAGAAAAAAGAAGGGUGUAGGGGAAUGUCUGGGCAAGAAACAUUCCCUUAUGGCCCCAGCAGUUGGUGCCUCCUAUUGGUGGUAGUUCCUUCUCCAGGAUCCUGUAAGCCAGGGGCUAUGUCAGGAGCUAAGGACAUGAUGGCCGAGAAGAACUAUGCACAGGACAAACAAGCAGGAGACGGGGUUCUGGGAGAGAAGGUGAGCUCACUUCUGCAGAUGACUCUGCUCACUGGCCACACCGUGCUCUAUAAACACCCUGCACCAUCUGUGAUGUCAGUCGCCAGCCGCCUGGAGAAUCUGCCCUGCUCUGGGAGCUUGUAUUAAAACACUCACUUAUAACUCCCUAUUAAUUUUUCACGAGGAGUUAUUUUUAACUCGCUCAAACCAUUGUCUGAAUAUGCCAAAUAUAUUUUCUUAAUGAACGAGCCCGGCGUGUGGUUUCUCCUUCCCCUCCUCUCCUGCUGCUAUUCAAAUGGUCCCUUCCUCACGGGGCACAGGGCUUGGAUGAACUAUUCACAGCAAUGCCCCAGAAAUGAGUAGUGGGGAACAGAGAAAACCAAGACACAAGGCCCACACUUUCCUCCCUACUCAGGCUUUGGUUUUGAAAGAACUUCAGGAAUUUCAGGAGACGUUUCCAGGUUUUUAAAAACAGAAAGAUCAAGUCAAAAUUGAAAACUCUUCUCUACAAAUUAUCCAAAGGGACCCUUGGGUUAUCGGAUCAAAUCAUCCCUCUACAAACCCAUCCAGACUCCUUUAUUUGCCAUAAUAUUACCAGUCCCAAUACUAUGAUUUCCUUGCAAGUAAGUGGGAUAGAUACACUGUCAAUUUUUAACUCAUGGACUUUUUCUAAACUAUAAAUCUGAUUGAGUUGUUCCCCCACUUAAAACCCUUCCAUGGUUCCCUUCUGCCAUCAGGAUAAAGACUAAAGUCCUUAGCCUAGCCCUUCCCAAUUUCUUCAUAAUUUCAUUCUGCUUAUUCCUCUAGCACCAUCCUCUUCCCAAGUCAUGCUCCUGCCAUGCAGUUC